GUCUGGUUGAAUUUUAAAAUCAGUCUAGCCUGCCCACUGAGUAUUUUAAAGGCCGCGGUAUCAUGACCGUGCGAAGGUAGCAUAAUAAUUAGUCUCUUGAUUGGAGACCGGAAUGAAAGGUUGGACAAAAAGUCAACUUUCCCAUAAUUAACUAUUUAACUUAACUUUUAAGUGAAAAGGCUUAAAUAAUCUUAAAAGACGACAAGACCCUAUAAAACUUUAUAUAUAAAAUACUAUUUUUGAUUUGUUUAAGUCAAUCUUUAAAUUUUAGUUUAUUAUAUUACGUUGGGGCGACGAAAGUAUAUAUUCACCUGCUUUUUAUUCUAUACAAUUAUUUUUGUUUUAUAUGACCCUUUUUUAAGAUCAAAAGAAAAAGUUACUUUAGGGAUAACAGCGUAAUUUUAUUUGAGAGUUCUUAUCGACAAUAAAGUUUGCGACCUCGAUGUUGAAUUAAAUCAUCAUUACAAUGUAGAAGUUGUAAAGGUGGGUCUGUUCGACCUUUAAAAUUUUACAUGAUUUGAGUUCAAACCGGUGUGAG
This 538-nucleotide ribosomal RNA is filed under the name Spinicallianassa sp. FP-10. Its description in RNAcentral is "partial large subunit ribosomal RNA". It matches the Rfam family "Archaeal large subunit ribosomal RNA", at positions 1921 to 2694 of the family's 2987-position model. Lineage: Eukaryota; Metazoa; Arthropoda; Malacostraca; Decapoda; Callianassidae. The record is from RNAcentral.